RNAcentral lists this ribosomal RNA (449 nucleotides) under uncultured bacterium. Its description in RNAcentral is "partial 16S ribosomal RNA". It matches the Rfam family "Bacterial small subunit ribosomal RNA", at positions 29 to 523 of the family's 1533-position model. The record is from RNAcentral.
AACGAACGCUGGCGGCAUGCCUAACACAUGCAAGUCGAACGAGACCUUCGGGUCUAGUGGCGCACGGGUGCGUAACGCGUGGGAAGCUGCCCUUCGGUUCGGAAUAACAGUUAGAAAUGACUGCUAAUACCGGAUGUGGACGUAAGUCCAAAGAUUUAUCGCCGAAGGAUGAGCCCGCGUAGGAUUAGGUAGUUGGUGGGGUAAUGGCCCACCAAGCCGACGAUCCUUAGCUGGUCUGAGAGGAUGAUCAGCCACACUGGGACUGAGACACGGCCCAGACUCCGACGGGAGGCAGCAGUGGGGAAUAUUGGACAAUGGGCGAAAGCCUGAUCCAGCAAUGCCGCGUGAGUGAUGAAGGCCUUAGGGUUGUAAAGCUCUUUUACCAGGGAUGAUAAUGACAGUACCUGGAGAAUAAGCUCCGGCUAACUCCGUGCCAGCCGCCGCAGUAA